CAGUUUUCGCAAUAAUCAUUUCACAUUGUUAUAUAAUUAGUGAGAUCAUUGUGAAAACUGAU
This 62-nucleotide microRNA precursor is filed under the name Brachionus plicatilis. RNAcentral describes it as "Bpl-Bantam_pre stem-loop". Lineage: Eukaryota; Metazoa; Rotifera; Eurotatoria; Ploima; Brachionidae. The record is from RNAcentral.